Long non-coding RNA from Chenopodium quinoa (quinoa), 2248 nucleotides. RefSeq lists it as uncharacterized. The record is from RefSeq and is a predicted model, not a curated record. Lineage: Eukaryota; Viridiplantae; Streptophyta; Magnoliopsida; Caryophyllales; Amaranthaceae. The transcript has 7 exons.
UUUCACUUGAAAUUUGAAAAAUCCCACUCAGUAAACCCGUUUUAAUCUCUGACACCCCGUUUUGUACUCGAUUAAUUAUUUUAUUUCUUAUUCCUUGUUUUUAUUUUUUGUUAUCUCUCUCCUCAUUUUUUUUAUGUUGUUUCUCUCUCCUCUUUUCUAAUGUUCUGCGAUCUUCACCUCUUCUAUUCUCACUUCUUCUCUAAUCAUUUAGUUUAUUUUCCUCCUCGCUUCUUCCCACAACUAAUGUUUUAAUUUAAAAUCCCACUCACCUAUAGUUCUCAAUCAUUCAAUAGCAUGUUUUGAUUUUUAUUUGUUUGUCGUUGGUUUGGUUGUUCCCAGAAGUUGGCGAAGUGGCGAAUUCCAGUUUCGCGACUCAAAUUUAGGUGAAGCAUAAUUGUGUUGUAACAUGAGGGAAGGAGGAUGAGAAAGUCAUUCGUGCGAUCCAUUGGUUGGAAGAAGGGAGUGGGUCCUUCAAAAUGUACUGGUGUGAAGGGGCCUGGAGUUAAGGGGCUUUUUUUGAGGCCAAGGGUCAUGCCCGUAGUAAAUCCCAGGCUCAUGCCCCUAGUAAAUCCCAGGUGAAGAGGAAAUCUAGGCAGCAAAUAAGUUAUGAGGAUUAUGAAGAGGAGGUUGAGGAGUAUUAUGAAGAUGAAGAUGUAGGUAGCAACAACAAUCACUUCGAUGGUGAAGAAGCAGAUUUAGUUAGUAGUUCUGGUUUUAUGGAGAACAUGAUGAUGGAGUACAUAGGGAUGAAGUCGAGGAAAAGGAAAGGGAAAGGGGAACCUAGUGUGUACAAGAAGCAAAAGGUUCCAAAACUUGAAGGUGACAAAGUAUUAAGUAAAGGGGAGGUUUUGAAGACACACCAUGAGAAUGUAGGGCAAGUAAGUAUCCGAACAUCGUAUGCCGUGUUGAUUCAUUUUGUGAUUCUGUGAAGUUGUUUGAUCCAAAGAGGAAAGACUUAGUACAGAAAAUGGGGUUUGGUGGAUUGCUUGAGUCUGAUAUGAAGAAUAUCCCUCAGCAGUUUUGCUAUUGGCCAAUGGCUAGAGUUCAAGAAGAUGGGACAAUGGUGUUUAGCGAAGGAGAAAUUUUCCCCUUGGUGCAAAGCAAGUUAGAUCUGUAUUAGGCAUUCCAAUGGGUUUGAGACCCGUGCCAAUGGAAAUUGGUGAUGAUGAAGAGAAGAUUAACUUGGUGAAAUCGUUGUGUGAUGCGUAUGGAGCAGGGCCGAAGAAAGAAACUAUUUCUUUGAAAGCCGCUUUUGUUGUCUUGUAUCCUUUGGAUAGUGAAAACAAACCUUUGCCGCUGGUCACAAAAUAUGAUGAAGAGGAGCUCAUGAUAGCAUUCUUAAUUGUGGUCCUUGGAAAACUUCUAUGCACAAUGACCAAUUAUUUUAAUUUGGCUGCCUCUCUAACUCCAUCUUUGACGGUGGCAACUGAGGCUAGUGAAUAUGAUUGGUGUACGUUCAUUAUCGAAUGGCUUUGUGACACAGCACACCGUUUCCAAGAAAAGUUUCUGCGGGAUGGCUUUAGGUCUGGAUGUGGAGGUAGCUUUCUUUUUGUGAUGAUAUUUUAUCUAGUUCACCUCCACCGGAAACUUGUGGAGUGGGGUGUGUUCCCAAGGGUCAAGGUGUGGAAUUCUCUUGAGAUAAGGGCAGCACUUAUGGAUGACAAGCUCACCCGGGACAAAUAUGGAAAACUGUUGGUAAGUGUUUCCUUCAUUUUUAGAAAUUGACAAUGUUGAGUCUGGUUGGUGGGUACUGUCCCUUGCUGAGUUAGACUUGUUUGGUGUAUGCCUUGGACAAAGCGUAUGGUGAGGAGCAUUCUCUUGUACUUAGGGAUGUUGACUGCUUCGGGAGGACUGUUUCUAUAGUCACUCAGCCAUAGUAGUUGGAUGAUGUGGUGACUGAAGUCAUGGAGAAGGUUGGUGACCCUGGUUGAGGGUGUGGUUGGAAAAGCUUUCGGUGAGUUUGUCACGAAGAUGACCAUGGGUCAUGAUGUAAAUGGUGAUGACUUUUGUACAAGUGGAAGCCACCUAGCCACAGGGAGUAACGGACCGCGGGAGAAUCAACAUAAUGCAAAGGUUGAGUCCAAACCCUCGGACAAAGUGGAAGCAGAAUGUUCGGGAGAUAAUAUACCAAAGGAAGAACCUAGGACUUCGAAGCUUAGUCCUCUCGAGAGGAGGCUUGUCAACUUUGUUCGCGGCUGGAAGGAAUUGAAGAACGAUAACGAGUAUGUACAGACUUGACUGUCUAAUU